RNAcentral lists this small RNA (148 nucleotides) under Pongo abelii (Sumatran orangutan). Its description in RNAcentral is "Metazoan signal recognition particle RNA (ENSPPYG00000036295.1)". The record is from Rfam by way of RNAcentral. Lineage: Eukaryota; Metazoa; Chordata; Mammalia; Primates; Hominidae.
GCCGUGCGUGGUGGCGCAUGCCUGUAAUCCCAGCUACUCAGGAGGCUGAGGCAGGAGAAUUGCUUGAACCCAGGAGGCAGAGGUUGCAGUGAGCUGAGAUCAUGCCACUGCACUCCAGCCUGGGUGACAGAGCAAGACUCAGUCUCAA